This 315-nucleotide unclassified non-coding RNA is filed under the name uncultured Fusobacterium sp. Its description in RNAcentral is "partial contains 16S ribosomal RNA, 16S-23S ribosomal RNA intergenic spacer, and 23S ribosomal RNA". The stretch from base 1 to 203 matches the Rfam family "Bacterial small subunit ribosomal RNA", at positions 1332 to 1533 of the family's 1533-position model. Lineage: Bacteria; Fusobacteriati; Fusobacteriota; Fusobacteriia; Fusobacteriales; Fusobacteriaceae. The record is from RNAcentral.
UCGCUAGUAAUCGCGAAUCAGCAAUGUCGCGGUGAAUACGUUCUCGGGUCUUGUACACACCGCCCGUCACACCACGAGAGUUGGUUGCACCUGAAGUAGCAGGCCUAACCGUAAGGAGGGAUGCUCCGAGGGUGUGAUUAGCGAUUGGGGUGAAGUCGUAACAAGGUAUCCGUACGGGAACGUGCGGAUGGAUCACCUCCUUUCUAAGGAGAAUAUGUCUUUCUCUAUUCUAUUGGUAAUGUUCUUCAGCACAAUGCUGUUGAGGUUACUUCUGAACAUUGGAAACUAUAUAGUAGAACAAACAAGAAAAAAAUU